RNAcentral lists this small RNA (408 nucleotides) under Histoplasma ohiense. RNAcentral's name for it is "hypothetical lncRNA". The record is from RNAcentral. Lineage: Eukaryota; Fungi; Ascomycota; Eurotiomycetes; Onygenales; Ajellomycetaceae.
UUGCUUUCUUGGUUCCUUGUUUGUGGGGUUAAUGGGGAUUGGUUUGGGGGGGGGUCCGCGAGGAGUUUUAAGGUACGGAUUCGUGAUUUGAUUAUGAUUAAUUCAGUGAAAUGGCCUGGGAAACGACGCCUUAAUAUGUGGAAAAUAUCGUGGAAGAGGGCGUUUCAGGACGGCUGGCUACAAAACAGUACUUGGACAUGGGCAGCCGGGUCACAGGGACCGGCCAUCAUGCCACCAGAGAUGAAUCCCUGGAUAUGUGCAGUAUAGGAUGUUAUCAGAAAACCAGGAACGGGUUUCGCGUUCGCCUCUGCCAUGCCUAUUCCCCACAUGUUUUCCGGCUCCAAAUAAGCUUUAGAGAUAGUAUCCAUGGACGGUUGGCCCCGGCUCUGCUAUUACAUCACAAUCCAG